UAUAUCAAUAAGCGGAGGAAAAGAAACCAACAGGGNUUGCCCCAGUAGCGGCGAGUGAAGCGGCAAGAGCUCAGAUUUGAAAUCGUGUUUCGGCACGAGUUGUAGAGUGUAGGCGGGAGUCUCUGUGGAGCGCGGUGUCCAAGUCCCUUGGAACAGGGUGCCUGAGAGGGUGAGAGCCCCGUAGGGUGCUGCGCGAAGCUUUUGAGGCCCUGCUGACGAGUCGAGUUGUUUGGGAAUGCAGCUCCAAGCGGGUGGUAAAUUCCAUCUAAGGCUAAAUAUUGGCGAGAGACCGAUAGCGAACAAGUACUGUGAAGGAAAGAUGAAAAGCACUUUGAAAAGAGAGUGAAACAGCACGUGAAAUUGUUGAAAGGGAAGGGUAUUGGGCUCGACAUGGGGGGUGCGCACCGCUGUCUCUUGUAGGCGGCGCUCUGGGCGCCCUCUGGGCCAGCAUCGGUUCCUGCUGCGGGAGAAGGGGCUCCGGAAAGUGGCUCUUCGGAGUGUUAUAGCCGGGGCCAGAUGCCGCGUGUGGGGACCGAGGACUGCGGCUUCUGUCUCGGAUGCUGGCAUAACGGCGCAAUACCGCCCGUCUU
RNAcentral lists this ribosomal RNA (590 nucleotides) under Pichia manshurica. Its description in RNAcentral is "eukaryotic LSU rRNA". It matches the Rfam family "Eukaryotic large subunit ribosomal RNA", at positions 39 to 655 of the family's 3401-position model. Lineage: Eukaryota; Fungi; Ascomycota; Pichiomycetes; Pichiales; Pichiaceae. The record is from RNAcentral.